This 439-nucleotide ribosomal RNA is filed under the name uncultured bacterium. RNAcentral describes it as "bacterial SSU rRNA". It matches the Rfam family "Bacterial small subunit ribosomal RNA", at positions 337 to 792 of the family's 1533-position model. The record is from RNAcentral.
UCCUACGGGAGGCAGCAGUAAGGGAUAUUGCGCAAUGGGCGAAAGCCUGACGCAGCAACGCCGCGUGGAGGAUGACGGCCUUCGGGUUGUAAACUCCUUUUGGCCCGGACGAGGAAGGACGGUACGGGCUGAAGAAGUCACGGCUAACUACGUGCCAGCAGCCGCGGUAAAACGUAGGUGGCGAGCGUUAUCCGGAUUUACUGGGCGUAAAGCGUGUGCAGGCGGUUUCCCAAGUGGUGUAUGAAAUCGCCCGGCUCAACCGGGCGGGGUUAGGCCAGACUGGGAGACUGGAGUACGGGAGAGGGGCGUGGAAUUCCGGGUGUAGUGGUGAAAUGCGUAGAGAUCCGGAGGAACCCCAGCGGCGAAGGCGGCGCCCUGGCCCGUAACUGACGCUCAGACACGACAGCAUGGGGAGCGAACGGGAUUAGAUACCCUUGUA